Molecule: ribosomal RNA, 437 nt
Filed under: uncultured bacterium
Lineage: Bacteria
Description: partial 16S ribosomal RNA
Rfam family: Bacterial small subunit ribosomal RNA
Source: RNAcentral
AGCGAACGCUGGCGGCAGGCUUAACACAUGCAAGUCGAGCGGGCAUCCUUGUGGUGUCAGCGGCAGACGGGUGAGUAACGCGUGGGUACGUGCCCUUCGGUUCGGAAUAACUCAGGGAAACUUGAGCUAAUACCGGAUACGUGCGAGAGCAGAAAGGUUUAUCUGCCGAAGGAUCGGCCCGCGUCUGAUUAGCUAGUUGGUGAGGUUAUGGCUCACCAAGGCGACGAUCAGUAGCUGGUCUGAGAGGAUGAUCAGCCACACUGGGACUGAGACACGGCCCAGACUCCUACGGGAGGCAGCAGUGGGGAAUAUUGGACAAUGGGGGCAACCCUGAUCCAGCCAUGCCGCGUGAGUGAUGACGGCCUUAGGGUUGUAAAGCUCUUUUCUUCGGGACGAUAAUGACGGUACCGGAGGAAUAAGCCCCGGCUAACUUCGUG